Molecule: small nuclear RNA, 103 nt
Filed under: Rhinopithecus bieti (black snub-nosed monkey)
Lineage: Eukaryota; Metazoa; Chordata; Mammalia; Primates; Cercopithecidae
Source: RNAcentral
GCGCAGCUUUGGCAGCACAUAUACUAAAAUUAGAAUGAAACAGAGAUUAGGACUGCUCCUGCACAAAGAUGACACGCAAAUUGAUGAAGCUUUCCAUACUUUU